GACGAACGCUGGCGGCGUGCUUAACACAUGCAAGUCGAACGGAAAGGCCCUGCUGUUGUGUGUUGCUCGAGUGGCGAACGGGUGAGUAACACGUGAGUAACCUGCCCUUGACUUUGGGAUAACUUCAGUAAACUGGGGCUAAUACCGGAUAGGAGCUCCUGCUGCAUGGUGUGGUUUGGAAAUUUUCGGCGGUUGGGGAUGGACUCGGGGCUUAUCAGCUUGUUGGUUGGGUAGUGGCUUACCAAGGCUUUGACGGGUAGCCUGCCUGAGAGGGUGACCGGCCACAUUGGGACUGAGAUACGGCACAGACUCCUACGGGAGGCAGCAGUGGGGAAUAUUGCACAAUGGGCGGAAGCCUGAUGCAGCAACGCCGCGUGCGGGAUGACGGACUUCGGGUUGUAAACCGUUUUCGCCUGUGACGAAGCGUGAGUGACGGUAAUGGGUAAAGAAGCACCGGCUAACUACGUG
Molecule: ribosomal RNA, 468 nt
Filed under: uncultured bacterium
Lineage: Bacteria
Description: partial 16S ribosomal RNA
Rfam family: Bacterial small subunit ribosomal RNA
Source: RNAcentral